This 732-nucleotide unclassified non-coding RNA is filed under the name Hevea brasiliensis (rubber tree). The record is from RNAcentral. Lineage: Eukaryota; Viridiplantae; Streptophyta; Magnoliopsida; Malpighiales; Euphorbiaceae.
GAAGAAGAAGAAGAUGAUGAUGGUGUAUCAUAAUUUACUACAACAUUAUUAUUUUCAUUCCCAUUUUCAUUUUCAGAAUUCGAAACAUCAAUCACAAUCUCCACUCUUGACUCCCCAUUAUUAUUAUUUAAACCAGCUUCUGCUGACUCCAUAGACUUGGCAUCACAUGCAGUAUCACCCACCACUGCCGGAGCUCUGCAAAUUGGACAAUUAGAGUGGGAAAGCAACCACAUGUCAAUGCACUCAACGUGAAAAUCAUGCCCACAUUUUUUCAAGCUCCUACCAAUCUCAUUUUCCUCGAAAAGGCUUAAACAAAUGAUGCACUCCAAAUCUUGUUCAUGCUCUUCAGCUUUGUAAACAAACAAUGGAAUGGAAGAAAUGAUUGAUGGGGCAAGACCUUCUGUAGAAGGAGAAGAGGGGAAGGCGUCGAGAGUAAAUGCGUGGAAAUGGUGGAAUCUUGAAGGGCGCAGAACGUGAGAUACAGAGACGGAGCUUGAUCUCCUUCUAUGGCGAGCUUGUUCCAAGAACCAUUUGGCGUAGAUAUGAAGAAGUAACACAAAGAGAAUGACCACAAGGAGGGAUAUCACCGCAGCCAGCAUUAUGUUGCUAUCAUAUGAGGAUAUACUGUUAAUGAAGUGACUUAGUGGAUAGUGUUUUGGAGUACUCAACAUAGCUUAUCUUCUCUUCUCUAAUAGGAGGCUAAACCACAACGAGACUGAUGCUUGUGUGAAA